AGGAACAAAUGGGGGCAGACUGAGCCACGAGCUUGAAGAGCCGGCUCUGCAUGAUUGUAUUAUCCCAAGAGACUCCGGCCCUGUUUCUCCCGCGCACAGAAGGGUUCUGUGCGCACUGAGGUUCAAAUGCAAGAAUAAUUGUGAACACAAAAGUACUAUUCCAAGGCAGAGACCACCGCCAUUCCUUGAACCUCACGGUAACUAUGUGCCAAGGUCCCUCCCUGAGGAAAUCCCCAUCAUGACAAGCACUCAGAGAAGUUGGUUGGUACAGAGUUUCUCUGCUGGUUACCCCAGGUGUGGUGUGGACCCCAGAAGGAUGACAGUUUGAAUCCAAGGGCAGUCCCCUUCCUGGCACAGCAAGCAAAAUAAAGUGAAGCCCCUGGAGGCUCAGGCUCCACAGCAAGACCACAGAGAAGACCAGCCCUCUCCCAUUGCCACAAAGACAAGAGAUAGCUUGAAAGAAGACAGCUAAAAGUGGUGGGUAAACAUUUAAGCCCCAGCACCUGUUGGCUUGAAUUUGCAUGUUCUAUGACUAAUCCUCUGCUCUGUACACAAACUCUCCUUUACCUGCCGGGCUAAUGUCCCAUUCUAAACAAAUUUUGUCCUAAAGGCCACUAACGUUUCACUGCUAGCCCAAAGCUAGACCAUUUUCUCAGCGGCAGUGAGUGACAGCAGGGUUCAAGGGCAGGAGAGCCAAUAUGACAGAUGGUUCUAGCUGUGAGUUCUAGCUGUGGGUGGCAGAGAGAGGGAAGUUGGGCCGCUUGAAGCUGCUUAGUCUGCCAACUUGUAAGAGAUUCUGCAUCACAGUCACAACCUAUCCUGUGCAACCCUGCCCAGAGCCAGGAGAGCAAAGGGGCCCUGCUGUAGUUAACACUCAACUCCAGAAACUGUAAACACAAAAGCAAACACCAUGGUUGGCUGGCAGCCUGGGGGCACUAUGGCUUUACACCAGCAGCUUCGAAAGGACACAGAAACCAUGGGGUAAGAGUCCAAAGGGUGGAGAGUCAACUGGGGUGGGUAGGUGAAUACCCAGCAACCCACCCACCCCCAGGGAGCCUGGGGU
This 1063-nucleotide long non-coding RNA is filed under the name Homo sapiens (human). RNAcentral's name for it is "HSALNT0291463". The record is from RNAcentral. Lineage: Eukaryota; Metazoa; Chordata; Mammalia; Primates; Hominidae.